GUAGCUUGCUACUGGACCUAGCGGCGGACGGGUGAGUAAUGCUUAGGAUCUGCCUAUUAUGGGGGACAACAUCUCGAAAGGGAUGCUAAUACCGCAUACGUCCUACGGGAGAAAGCAGGGGAUCUUCGGACCUUGCGCUAAUAGAUGAGCCUAAGUCGGAUUAGCUAGUUGGUGGGGUAAAGGCCUACCAAGGCGACGAUCUGUAGCGGGUCUGAGAGGAUGAUCCGCCACACUGGGACUGAGACACGGCCCAGACUCCUACGGGAGGCAGCAGUGGGGAAUAUUGGACAAUGGGGGGAACCCUGAUCCAGCCAUGCCGCGUGUGUGAAGAAGGCCUUAUGGUUGUAAGCACUUUAAGCGAGGAGGAGGCUACUUUAUUAUACCUAGAGAUAGUGGACGUUACUCGCAGAAAAGC
RNAcentral lists this ribosomal RNA (415 nucleotides) under Acinetobacter sp. RNAcentral's name for it is "bacterial SSU rRNA". It matches the Rfam family "Bacterial small subunit ribosomal RNA", at positions 75 to 491 of the family's 1533-position model. The record is from RNAcentral. Lineage: Bacteria; Pseudomonadati; Pseudomonadota; Gammaproteobacteria; Moraxellales; Moraxellaceae.